AGCGAACGCUGGCGGCAGGCUUAACACAUGCAAGUCGAGCGGGCGUAGCAAUACGUCAGCGGCAGACGGGUGAGUAACGCGUGGGAACGUACCUUUUGGUUCGGAACAACCCAGGGAAACUUGGGCUAAUACCGGAUAAGCCCUUACGGGGAAAGAUUUAUCGCCGAAAGAUCGGCCCGCGGUCUGAUUAGCUAGUUGGUGUGGUAACGGCGCACCAAGGCGACGAUCAGUAGCUGGUCUGAGAGGAUGAUCAGCCACAUUGGGACUGAGACACGGCCCAAACUCCUACGGGAGGCAGCAGUGGGGAAUAUUGGACAAUGGGCGAAAGCCUGAUCCAGCAAUGCCGCGUGAGUGAUGAAGGCCUU
RNAcentral lists this ribosomal RNA (365 nucleotides) under uncultured bacterium. Its description in RNAcentral is "bacterial SSU rRNA". It matches the Rfam family "Bacterial small subunit ribosomal RNA", at positions 29 to 418 of the family's 1533-position model. The record is from RNAcentral.